AGAGUUUGAUCAUGGCUCAGAUUGAACGCUGGCGGCAUGCCUUACACAUGCAAGUCGAACGGCAGCAUAGGAGCUUGCUCCUGAUGGCGAGUGGCGAACGGGUGAGUAAUAUAUCGGAACGUGCCCUAGAGUGGGGGAUAACUAGUCGAAAGACUAGCUAACACCGCAUACGAUCUACGGAUGAAAGUGGGGGAUCGCAAGACCUCAUGCUCCUGGAGCGGCCGAUAUCUGAUUAGCUAGUUGGUGGGGUAAAAGCCUACCAAGGCAACGAUCAGUAGCCGGUCUGAGAGGACGACCAGCCACACUGGGACUGAGACACGGCCCAGACUCCUACGGGAGGCAGCAGUGGGGAAUUUUGGACAAUGGGGGCAACCCUGAUCCAGCAAUGCCGCGUGAGUGAAGAAGGCCUUCGGGUUGUAAAGCUCUUUUGUCAGGGAAGAAACGGUGGUAGCGAAUAACUACUACUAAUGACGGUACCUGAAGAAUAAGCACCGGCUAACUACGUGCCAGCAGCCGCGGUAAUA
RNAcentral lists this ribosomal RNA (524 nucleotides) under uncultured bacterium. RNAcentral's name for it is "bacterial SSU rRNA". It matches the Rfam family "Bacterial small subunit ribosomal RNA", at positions 8 to 525 of the family's 1533-position model. The record is from RNAcentral.